GCGGUGAACAGGACAGUGCUGGCCGGAGCCCUUUCUCCCUCAGAGGAUAGCUUGGGGUAACAGGAGAUCAAGGCAUACAGUGGAGUCUUCUCAGGGAAGAUGUCGUCUUUGACAAUGAGAACUCGUUGUGUGGACAAAAGAGGAAGUUUCUUUAAGCUCAUUGACACAAUUGCCUCAGAAAUCGGAGAACUGAAACAGGAGAUGGUACAGACAGAUCUCACAGUGGAAGAUGAAUCUGCUGAUUGGCAAAGUCUAAUAAAGGAUAUGGAUGAUGUCUCUCCUGAGAAAAAUGAUGUAAAAAGCUGCCCCCGGGACUCUGGAUAUGACAGCCUAUCCAACAAGCUAAGCAUAUUGGACAAGCUCCUCCAUACUCACCCUGUGUGGCUGCAGCUUGGUCUGAACGAUGCUGAAGCCAUGGAAAUUUUGCGGACACAGCCUCCUGGGAUAUUUCUGGUUAGGAAAUCUGCAAGGCUGCAGAAGAAAGUCAUCUCUCUGCGUCUGUCCAGCGACUGUGGGUCCUGCCUGAAAGAAUUUGCCAUUAAAGAAAGUACAUACACGUUUUCCUUGGAGGGGUCUGGAAUAAGUUUUGCUGAUUUGUUCAGACUCAUUGCUUUCUACUGUAUUAGCAGGGAUGUCCUUCCAUUCACACUGAAGUUGCCUCAUGCAAUUGCUGCAGCAAAGACAGAAGCUGAACUUGAAGAGAUUGCUCAGCUUGGACUGAACUUUUGGAGCUCCCUGGCUAACAGCAAACCCCCGGAUCCUUCACCUCCCUGUAGGCCUGUGCCUUUGGACCGUGCUCGCAAAGACUCACGCCAGCUCUGCCUUAUAAAUGGAGUGCAUUCUAUACGAACCAGAACGCCUUCAGAGCUGGAGUGCAGCCAGACCAACGGAGCGCUGUGUUUCAUUAAUCCCCUCUUCUUAAAAGUGCACAGCCAGGAUGUCAGUGGAAGUCUGAAAAGGCAGAGCCCGAGAACUCCAGACGUGAAUGGCACAGCGAGGCCUCGCUCCCCCCCGCCCCGGCCACCACCUCCUGCUAUUAAUAGCACCCUCACGAGCCCACAGAUUUCCAGGACUAUAAAGCAGGCGAGCAUGCCAGAAACAGUCAGCCAUAAGAAGGAGAGGGGCUUGGAUUUGCUGCAGAACAAGCCCACCCCGAUUCCGCCUCCUCGGCUGAAGAAGCAGGCUGCGUGCUCCGAGGCAGACAGUGCCUCCAGGAGCGCGGCAGCGCUCCGGCCUGACUCCGUGUGCGUGCCCGAGGCAGCCGCGGUGCCGCGUGAAGCCCUGCCCGAGCCGGCUCCAGCAGCUCCCAAAAAGACUCCGGCUGCCAUCUCUGAGUCACACAUCCCGUGGAAUGGAGGCAGGCAGAGACUGAGCGACAUGAGCAUUUCCACCUCCUCCUCUGACUCUCUGGACUUCGAUCGGAGCAUGCCGCUCUUCGGCUAUGAGGGGGACACCAACAGCAGCCUGGAGGACUUUGAGGGGGAAAGUGACCAGGAGAGCAUGGCACCCCCUUUGAAGCCCAAGAAGAAAAGAAGCAGUUCGUUUGUUCUCCCCAAGAUUGUGAAAUCUCAGCUACGGAAAGUCAGUGGAGUUUUCAGUUCCUUCAUGACCCCUGAGAAGAGGAUGAUUAAGAAAAUUGCAGAGAUGUCCCGGGAUAAACGCACCUAUUUUGGAUGCUUGGUACAGGACUAUGUCAGCUUUCUCCAAGAAAACAAGGAGUGCCACGUUUCGAGCACUGAUAUGCUGCAAACAGUUCGUCAGUUCAUGACCCAAGUCAAGAACUACUUGUCCCAAAGCUCCGAACUUGAUCCCCCAAUCGAAUCACUGAUUCCUGAAGACCAAAUAGAUGUUGUGCUGGAGAAGGCCAUGCAUAAGUGCAUUCUGAAGCCGCUGAAGGGUCACAUUGAAGCGAUGUUGAAAGAGUUUCAUACCACAGAUGGUUCCUGGAAACAACUGAAGGAAAACCUGCAGCUGGUGCGGCAGAGGAAUCCUCAGGAACUGGGCGUGUUUGUCCCAACACCAGACUUUGUGGACGUUGAAAAGAUUAAAGUCAAGUUCAUGACUAUGCAGAAGAUGUAUUCACCUGAAAAGAAAGUCAUGCUGCUGCUGAGAGUUUGCAAAUUGAUUUACACUGUCAUGGAGAAUAACUCAGGGAGGCUGUAUGGAGCUGAUGACUUCUUGCCUGUGUUGACGUAUGUGCUCGCCCAGUGUGAUAUGCUGGAGCUGGAUACCGAAAUCGAAUACAUGAUGGAGUUGUUGGAUCCAUCCUUGCUGCAUGGAGAAGGGGGCUAUUACUUGACAAGCGCUUAUGGAGCACUUUCACUGAUCAAGAACUUCCAGGAAGAACAAGCUGCCCAGCUGCUCAGUUCAGAGGCCAGAGACACUCUCCGGCAGUGGCACAAGAGGAGGACAACAAACAGGACAAUACCUUCAGUUGAUGAUUUUCAGAUUGCUGAGCACUGGGGAGAAUAUUUGGGAUAAAGAAAUGAAAGGCACAAGGGAAGCUCUACACUCCCGAGGGAAUGUUUAGCCACGUGCAGCUUCUGACCUCACCAAUAAUCCCAGCUGCCACAGAAACCUUCUGAAGCUGGGACAGGGAAGACAAUUCCAAGAGCUGUGGGAAGUGCUUUCUCCCAGGACUGGAUGGCACUGAGGUUGGAAUGAGUUCCAGAUCAUCCUUGUGCCUCUCCUGUUGCCAUCCAGGACUAAGUCCAUGUUCUCUGAGUGUGGAGGGAAGAAGCCUGUGCUGGAGAAUGGGAGAAAAGUCCCACAGCUGGUUGCUGUGUCCUCUGUGGGCACAGAACUCUGGCCAGAUGGGUUGGACAGGGAGAACCACUGAACUUGUCCUGGCCUUGCCCAGAGCUUUGGUGUUUGGGCUGCCAAACCCAAACUGGUCCUGCCCUGGUAGGUCACAGGUUCCUCUCCUCUCCUCUCUGCUGUGACAGGCUCUGUAAGGAAUGCCAUUUCCAGCAGCCUGGUUUGCUGGAAAAGGGGAAGGAAUAGGAAAUAUGGUGCCAGAGCUGUGUUCCACCAGGUUUUGUUUCCUUCCCUCUGAGGACAGAGAGUCUCUGGGCUGAGAUGCUGGAACUGCCUUUCUGGAUGUGUGCUGAGCUAUCGCUGCUGUGGACUGUGUGGCCUUAAUUGCUGCAGGGUUCUGUUUUUCUCACUGGGGAAUUGGAAAUAUUUAUUAAUUAGAAGGCAGAGAUGUUUUUGGAAACCUCUCCCUUUUUUCUGCCUUUUAGUGGUAGAUCUUCUCUUUCUGCCUCUGAAUUUACAGUGAUUCUCAGACGUCAUUUCACCUGCCCAACUCCUCGUAGCUCAGGGGGGUGCAGGGAAGGUGCUAAUCUUUUGCCAUAUGUGUAGAUAUGUAACCACUUAGCAGAUAAUCUCAGAUUCUGUAAAGACAGCCUUUCAUUUUAAAACCAAACUCCUGCUGCUGGGAAGCUGUGAUCAGUUUAUAAUUUAGCUUUAUCUCAGAGAUACCAGAUUUGUGUGAAUCAGAAUAGCCCCAACUUCCUUGCAACCCAGAGCAUCAGUGUCAUCUGACUGAGCUUCUCUGCCACUGCCACCACAGGGUGACUGUCCUCCAGUGCAUCAGUAAGGCAGUGGAAGGUGAAAUGACAGAAAUGGAUCUGCCUCUCAUUAGUGGGAUGAAUAGAAGUGUUCUGGGGAGAAGGAUGGAUGAGGGGGUGAGGAGAUGUGUUAAGAACUGGUUUAAAGAGGGAUAAGAGGAGGAUGCUAAUUCUUUUUUGUCAGAUAGUUUGGAAUAAGCUUUGGAGGACUUUUGGAUGAUGGUGUCUCAAGUGAACAGUGUCACGUGCACUCCGAGUACAAACACUGCUCAAUAAAACGAGCUUGGGGAAAAGUUC
This is an RNA transcript of Pyrgilauda ruficollis (rufous-necked snowfinch), 3869 nucleotides long. It is a transcript of the gene named Ras and Rab interactor 2, with no coding region annotated. The record is from RefSeq and is a predicted model, not a curated record. NCBI's taxonomy places the organism in Eukaryota, Metazoa, Chordata, Aves, Passeriformes, Passeridae. The transcript is spliced from 14 exons.